Bufo bufo (common toad) is the source of this 135-nucleotide long non-coding RNA. RefSeq lists it as uncharacterized. The transcript is spliced from 3 exons. Lineage: Eukaryota; Metazoa; Chordata; Amphibia; Anura; Bufonidae. The record is from RefSeq and is a predicted model, not a curated record.
AUCAGUGAUGAACCUGCUGUGACGAACUGCGACCGCCGCGGCCACAAUACGUCACGAAACCGUCACAACGCCCCUAGUGGUCAAUCCGCAAACAGGCCUCCCAGCCACUUUCAGCACACCGACAGUCUAACUUGA